RNAcentral lists this ribosomal RNA (253 nucleotides) under uncultured bacterium. RNAcentral's name for it is "partial 16S ribosomal RNA". It matches the Rfam family "Bacterial small subunit ribosomal RNA", at positions 524 to 776 of the family's 1533-position model. The record is from RNAcentral.
UACGGAGGGGGCGAGCGUUGUCCGAAUUUACUGGGCGUAAAGAGCGCGUAGGCGGGAUGGUAAGUCUGUUGUGAAAGCCCGUUGCUUAACGACGGAGGGUCGAUGGAUACUGCCAUUCUUGAAGGUGCUAGGGGGAGAUGGAAUUACAGGUGUAGCGGUGAAAUGCGUAGAUAUCUGUAGGAACACCAGUGGCGAAGGCGAUCUCCUGGGGCAUUCUUGACGCUGAGGCGCGAAAGCUGGGGGAGCAAACGGG